This 274-nucleotide ribosomal RNA is filed under the name uncultured bacterium. RNAcentral's name for it is "partial 16S ribosomal RNA". It matches the Rfam family "Bacterial small subunit ribosomal RNA", at positions 523 to 796 of the family's 1533-position model. The record is from RNAcentral.
AUACAGAGGGUGCGAGCGUUAAUCGGAAUUACUGGGCGUAAAGCGCGCGUAGGCGGUUUGUUAAGUCGGAUGUGAAAGCCCCGGGCUCAACCUGGGAACUGCAUUCGAAACUGGCAGGCUAGAGUAUGGUAGAGGGAAGUGGAAUUCCGGGUGUAGCGGUGAAAUGCGUAGAUAUCCGGAGGAACAUCAGUGGCGAAGGCGGCUUCCUGGACCAAUACUGACGCUGAGGUGCGAAAGCGUGGGGAGCAAACAGGAUUAGAUACCCCAGUAGUCC